AGUGAACGCUGGCGGUAGGCCUAACACAUGCAAGUCGAACGGCAGCACAGGAGAGCUUGCUCUCUGGGUGGCGAGUGGCGGACGGGUGAGGAAUACAUCGGAAUCUACUCUGUCGUGGGGGAUAACGUAGGGAAACUUACGCUAAUACCGCAUACGACCUACGGGUGAAAGCAGGGGACCUUCGGGCCUUGCGCGAUUGAAUGAGCCGAUGUCGGAUUAGCUAGUUGGCGGGGUAAAGGCCCACCAAGGCGACGAUCCGUAGCUGGUCUGAGAGGAUGAUCAGCCACUCUGGAACUGAGACACGGUCCAGACUCCUACGGGAGGCAGCAGUGGGGAAUAUUGGACAAUGGGCGCAAGCCUGAUCCAGCCAUACCGCGUGAGUGAAGAAGGCCUUCGGGUUGUAAAGCCCUUUUGUUGGGAAAGAAAUCCAGCUGGCUAAUACCCGGUUGGGAUGACGGUACCCAAAGAAUAAGCACCGGCUAACUUCGUGCCAGCCGCCGCGGUAA
Molecule: ribosomal RNA, 506 nt
Filed under: uncultured bacterium
Lineage: Bacteria
Description: partial 16S ribosomal RNA
Rfam family: Bacterial small subunit ribosomal RNA
Source: RNAcentral